AGAAAAAAAAACUAAACUACUACUACAUUGCUACUACACUACUAUUACUAUAUACACACACACGGGAAACAAGAAAAAAAAACUAAACUACUACUACAUUGCUACUACACUACUAUUACAUAUUAUAUAUAUGCACAAAACACACUACCACUACCACUAUUAUAUAUUAUAUAUAAAACACAAACACACACACGGCUAAGGAGGAAAACGACGGAAGAAAAGAAAAAAAGAAAGGCAAACAAGUUAAACUUCAAGUUUAUCGUCCACGGUUUCAAGUUCGUGACUCCUAGAAUCCGUAGAUUGUAAUAAUUUUAUCGUUGGGAAUCGGUCUUCUCAAAGGUAUAUCUCAAUCAUCCUUGUACAAUUCUAUAUUGCAAUUAUUCAAAGACUCGGUUUCAAUGUUUUAUGAAGUUUUUUUUNNNNN
This 424-nucleotide long non-coding RNA is filed under the name Capsicum annuum. RNAcentral's name for it is "long non-coding RNA (CANN_LNC018642)". The record is from RNAcentral. Lineage: Eukaryota; Viridiplantae; Streptophyta; Magnoliopsida; Solanales; Solanaceae.